This 506-nucleotide ribosomal RNA is filed under the name uncultured bacterium. RNAcentral's name for it is "partial 16S ribosomal RNA". It matches the Rfam family "Bacterial small subunit ribosomal RNA", at positions 28 to 523 of the family's 1533-position model. The record is from RNAcentral.
GAUGAACGCUAGCUACAGGCUUAACACAUGCAAGUCGAGGGGUAACGAGAGGAAAGCUUGCUUUCCUUGUCGACGACCGGCGCACGGGUGAGUAACGCGUAUCCAACCUGCCCCCAACUAGGGAAUAACCUUGCGAAAGUAAGACUAAUACCCUAUAAUUUCCUCAGAUGUCAUCUGACGAGGAAUAAAGAUUUAUCGGUUGUGGAUGGGGAUGCGUCUGAUUAGCUUGUUGGCGGGGUAACGGCCCACCAAGGCAACGAUCAGUAGGGGUUCUGAGAGGAAGGUCCCCCACAUUGGAACUGCGACACGGUCCAAACUCCUACGGGAGGCAGCAGUGAGGAAUAUUGGUCAAUGGGCGGAAGCCUGAACCAGCCAAGUAGCGUGCAGGAUGACGGCCCUAUGGGUUGUAAACUGCUUUUAUACAGGAAUAAAGUUAGCCACGUGUGGUUAUUUGUAGGUACUGUAUGGAUAAGGACCGGCUAAUUCCGUGCCAGCCGCCGCGGUAA